AUGCUUAUUGAUAUUGCAAUUGAAUAUGUAAAAGGCUUGCUUUCCUUUUUCAAUAAGUAUAGAGAAAAUGACUUUCCAAAAGCAUUGGAAGUUGCAAAAAAAUGCAUUGGAAUGGAUAUUCAUCAAGAGUUCCGCACCAAGUGUAAAAUCAAAAAGAAAAGGCAAUUUGAUGAGGGUGAAGAUGAUGCAUCUAUUGAUCCACAAUCUGCAGAGGAGUCAUUUAGGGUCAAUUAUUUUAUACGUGUUGUUGACCAAGCUAUAACUUCACUUACCAUUAGAUUUGAACAAUAUGAGGGGUAUCAAAAGAUAUUUGGUUUCUUAUUUACUUCAGAUAGGCUGCGAUCACCAGAUGACAAGAGUUUGAUGGCUGCUUGUAUUAAUCUUGAAGAUGCAGUUAAGAGUGGAGAACAUACAGAUAUUGAUGGACUUGAAUUGCGUUGCGAACUAAUUUUCAUCCAUGAUUUACUUCAUAAUCAAUGGGCCCUCUUGACAUUCUGA
This 498-nucleotide ribosomal RNA is filed under the name Triticum aestivum (bread wheat). RNAcentral describes it as "partial small subunit ribosomal RNA". Lineage: Eukaryota; Viridiplantae; Streptophyta; Magnoliopsida; Poales; Poaceae. The record is from RNAcentral.